RNAcentral lists this ribosomal RNA (199 nucleotides) under uncultured bacterium. Its description in RNAcentral is "partial 16S ribosomal RNA". It matches the Rfam family "Bacterial small subunit ribosomal RNA", at positions 1294 to 1500 of the family's 1533-position model. The record is from RNAcentral.
CGGAUCGGAGUCUGNAACCCGACUCCGUGAAGCUGGAUUCGCUAGUAAUCGCGCAUCAGCCAUGGCGCGGUGAAUACGUUCCCGGGCCUUGUACACACCGCCCGUCAAGCCAUGGGAGCCGGGGGUGCUUGAAGUGCGUCGUCGCGAGGCGCGCCCUAGAGCAAAACCGGUGACUGGGGCUAAGUCGUAACAAGGUACC